Amphiprion ocellaris (clown anemonefish) is the source of this 963-nucleotide long non-coding RNA. RefSeq lists it as uncharacterized. The record is from RefSeq and is a predicted model, not a curated record. The transcript is spliced from 4 exons. NCBI's taxonomy places the organism in Eukaryota, Metazoa, Chordata, Actinopteri, Pomacentridae.
GUGCAUGCACUUUUUUUUUCCUAUUUGGUGCUUGUAGACGUUAUGGGAAAGUUGUCUCUCUCCCUUCUCCUCCCCAUCCCUCCCCUCUGUCCUUCUCCUCUCGUCUUGUCAUGUGCUCGGGAUGUGCUCAUGCUUUGCACAGAGAGCAGCUGUAGCACGCCUAAUGCAGGUUACAGAGUGUUAGCGGCAAUUUUAAAGUCCCCCCCCCCCCCCCCCCCCCACCUUCCACCUCCACCCAUCUCCGCCGCCACCAAAUAAUACGGCCGGGAUAUUGGAGGGGAACGUAUACCGCACCACGUACACGCGGAGCCCGCUCUUCCUCUCCUGCUUGGGACGCCUUCCUGACCGCUUGCAAGUGAUUUGACUCGCCAUUAGAAAUGAUGGAGAGAAAGAGCUGUGAAGAAGAAGUGCAGGCAGCAGGAAGUAGAGGUCAACACCAGAUCUCUGGGAUUUUGCUCUCCACUGGACCCACAUGAGGUUGGAUGGACACGUCAUUGAUUGUGACCCAUAAACAAGUGGCAUAAUGACUGGAGUCUCCACACUAAAGACGUCAAGGAUAUUCAGCUGAUCUCAGAGGUGGAUGAUUCUCCUGAUCAAGUGGAAAGGAGCCUGAAUUUCAGCAAGAAAGAACCAUCAAGAUAUAUCUCACAUGCUUUAGUGACAAUCUCACUAUGACCUGCACUGUACUUUAUAUUUCUGUAUUUCUGUCAACUAGUUCUAAGAUUGUUGACCAAACUGACAAUCCUCUCAACAAUGGACUGAAAAUAGUCAAUCCAACAAAUUCUUUGACUUUGCUCCAAUAGGCAUCAAUGUAUUUAUUUUUAAAUUUUUAUACGGGAGAACACUUCCCAAAAUAAGAUAAAAAUAUUCCACACAUUAAAACUUGCACCUAUUUCAUGUAAUUGAUUGAGUCUAACAAGGAUAUUUUUUGACAGCUAAAUAAAGACUUUUUUCUCCCUUUAA